UACAGAGGUCUCGAGCGUUGUUCGGAUUCAUUGGGCGUAAAGGGCGCGUAGGCGGCGGGGUAAGUCUGGUGUGAAAUCUCGGAGCUCAACUCCGAAAUUGCACUGGAUACUGCUCUGCUAGAGGGCUGGAGAGGAGAUCGGAAUUCACGGUGUAGCAGUGAAAUGCGUAGAUAUCGUGAGGAAGACCGGUGGCGAAGGCGGAUCUCUGGACAGCUCCUGACGCUGAGGCGCGAAGGCUAGGGGAGCAAACGGG
RNAcentral lists this ribosomal RNA (253 nucleotides) under uncultured bacterium. RNAcentral describes it as "partial 16S ribosomal RNA". It matches the Rfam family "Bacterial small subunit ribosomal RNA", at positions 524 to 776 of the family's 1533-position model. The record is from RNAcentral.